This 253-nucleotide ribosomal RNA is filed under the name uncultured bacterium. Its description in RNAcentral is "partial 16S ribosomal RNA". It matches the Rfam family "Bacterial small subunit ribosomal RNA", at positions 524 to 776 of the family's 1533-position model. The record is from RNAcentral.
AACGUAGGACGCAAGCGUUAUCCGGAGUUACUGGGCGUAAAGCGCGGGCAGGCGGUUGGUCAAGUCUGAUGUGAAAUCUCCUCGCUCAACGGGGAGCAGCCAUUGGAAACUGGGCAACUGGAGUCUGGCAGAGGUAGGCGGAAUUCCGGGUGGAGUGGUGGAAUGCGUAGAGAUCCGGAGGAACACCAGAGGCGAAGGCGGCCUACUGGGCCAGUACUGACGCUGAGCCGCGAAAGCCAGGGGAGCGAACGGG